Molecule: small nuclear RNA, 107 nt
Organism: Zalophus californianus (California sea lion)
Lineage: Eukaryota; Metazoa; Chordata; Mammalia; Carnivora; Otariidae
Source: Ensembl
AUGCUCAUUUUGGCAGCACAUAUACUAAAAUUGGAAUGAUACAGAGAAGAUUAGCAUGGCUCCUGCACAAGGAUGAUGCACAAAUUUGUAAAGUGUUCCAUAUUUAA